GCCCUCGUAGCUCAGUGGCAGAGCGCCUGUCUCGUAAACAGGAGGUCACGAGUUCAAAUCUCGUCGAGGGCU
This 72-nucleotide transfer RNA is filed under the name Candidatus Martarchaeota archaeon. RNAcentral's name for it is "tRNA-Thr". It matches the Rfam family "tRNA". Rfam says of the family: Transfer RNA (tRNA) molecules are approximately 80 nucleotides in length. Their secondary structure includes four short double-helical elements and three loops (D, anti-codon, and T loops). The record is from RNAcentral. RNAcentral also lists the same sequence under 1 other name. Lineage: Archaea; Thermoproteati; Thermoproteota.